CCUACGGGGGGCUGCAGUGGGGAAUAUUGGGCAAUGGGCGCAAGCCUGACCCAGCAACGCCGCGUGAAGGAAGAAGGCUUUCGGGUUGUAAACUUCUUUUCUCAGGGACGAAGAAAGUGACGGUACCGGAGGAAUAAGCCACGGCUAACUCCGGGCCAGCAGCCGCGGUAAGACGGAGGUGGCAAGCGUUAUCCGGAGUGAGUGGGUGUAAAGGGCGAGGAGGCGGGCGCGCAAGUCAGAUGUGAAAACUCCUGGAUCAACCCUGAGCCUGCAUUUGAAACUGUGUUUCUUGAGUGCUGGGGAGGCAAUCGGAAUUCCGUGUGUAGCGGUGAAAUGCGUAGAUCUUCGGAGGAACCCCAGUGGCGAAGGCGGCUUGCUGGACAGUAACUGCCGCUGAGGCGCGAAAGCGUGGGGAGCAAACAGGAUUAGAUACCCGGGUAGUC
This 443-nucleotide ribosomal RNA is filed under the name uncultured bacterium. Its description in RNAcentral is "partial 16S ribosomal RNA". It matches the Rfam family "Bacterial small subunit ribosomal RNA", at positions 338 to 795 of the family's 1533-position model. The record is from RNAcentral.